UACGGAGGGAGCUAGCGUUGCUCGGAAUCACUGGGCGUAAAGCGCACGUAGGCGGCUUUUUAAGUCAGGGGUGAAAUCCUGGAGCUCAACUCCAGAACUGCCUUUGAUACUGAGAAGCUUGAGUCCGGGAGAGGUGAGUGGAACUGCGAGUGUAGAGGUGAAAUUCGUAGAUAUUCGCAAGAACACCAGUGGCGAAGGCGGCUCACUGGCCCGGUACUGACGCUGAGGUGCGAAAGCGUGGGGAGCAAACAGG
Molecule: ribosomal RNA, 253 nt
Filed under: uncultured bacterium
Lineage: Bacteria
Description: partial 16S ribosomal RNA
Rfam family: Bacterial small subunit ribosomal RNA
Source: RNAcentral